CGAACGCUGGCGGCGCGCUUAACGACGAUGACAAGUCGAGCGCUUGUAGCAAUACAGGAGCGGCGAACGGGUGCGUAACACGUGGAUAAUCUGCCUCGAGGUCCGGAAUAACCAGCCGAAAGGUUGGCUAAUACCAGGUAAGCCCCCGGGUGCUUCGGCGCCUGAGGGAAAAGGAGCAAUCCGCCACGAGAUGAGUCCGCGGCCCAUCAGCUAGUUGGCGGGGUAACGGCCCACCAAGGCAACGACGGGUAGCUGGUCUGAGAGGACGGCCAGCCACACUGGAACUGAGACACGGUCCAGACUCCUACGGGAGGCAGCAGUGGGGAAUCUUGCGCAAUGGGCGAAAGCCUGACGCAGCGACGCCGCGUGUGCGAUGAAGGUCUUCGGAUCGUAAAGCACUGUCGCGAGGGAAAAAGCCAGUGAUGGUACCUCGAGAGGAAGCACCGGCUAACUCUGCGCCAGCAGCCGCGGUAAUCUGAUG
Molecule: ribosomal RNA, 481 nt
Filed under: uncultured bacterium
Lineage: Bacteria
Description: bacterial SSU rRNA
Rfam family: Bacterial small subunit ribosomal RNA
Source: RNAcentral